RNAcentral lists this ribosomal RNA (432 nucleotides) under uncultured bacterium. Its description in RNAcentral is "partial 16S ribosomal RNA". It matches the Rfam family "Bacterial small subunit ribosomal RNA", at positions 28 to 507 of the family's 1533-position model. The record is from RNAcentral.
GAUGAACGCUGGCGGUAUGCUUAACACAUGCAAGUCGAACGGUACCUUCGGGUCUAGUGGCGGACGGGUGAGUCACGCGUGAGAAUCUAUCUUCAGGUCGGGGACAACUGUUAGAAAUGACUGCUAAUACCGGAUGUGCCGAAAGGUAAAAGAUUUAUUGCCUGAAAAAGAGCUCGCGUCAGAUUAGCGAGUAGGUGGUGUAAGAGACUCCCUAGGCUUCGCUCUGUAGCUGGUCUGAGAGGACGAUCAGCCACACUGGAACUGAGACACAGUCCAGAAUCCUACGGGAUGCAGCAGUGGGUAAUUUUGCGCAAUGGGCGAAGGCCUGACGGAGCAAUACCGCGUGAGGGACGAAGGCUGUUGGGUAGUAAACCUCUUUUCUCAAGGAAGAUUCAGACGGUACUUGAGGAAUAAGCAACGGCUAACUCUGUG